UACGAAGGGGGCUAGCGUUGCUCGGAAUCACUGGGCGUAAAGGGUGCGUAGGCGGCUAAUUAAGUCAGCGGUGAAAUUCCACAGCUCAACUGUGUGAACUGCCAUUGAUACUGGUUGGCUUGAGUACAGAUGAGGUAGGCGGAAUUGACAGUGUAGCGGUGAAAUGCUUAGAUAUUGUCAAGAACACCUAUUGCGAAGGCAGCUUACUAAACUGUAACUGACGCUGAGGCACGAAAGCGUGGGGAUCAAACAGG
Molecule: ribosomal RNA, 254 nt
Filed under: uncultured bacterium
Lineage: Bacteria
Description: partial 16S ribosomal RNA
Rfam family: Bacterial small subunit ribosomal RNA
Source: RNAcentral